This 384-nucleotide RNase P RNA is filed under the name Thalassotalea castellviae. RNAcentral's name for it is "RNase P RNA component class A". It matches the Rfam family "Bacterial RNase P class A". Rfam says of the family: Ribonuclease P (RNase P) is a ubiquitous endoribonuclease, found in archaea, bacteria and eukarya as well as chloroplasts and mitochondria. Its best characterised activity is the generation of mature 5'-ends of tRNAs by cleaving the 5'-leader elements of precursor-tRNAs. Lineage: Bacteria; Pseudomonadati; Pseudomonadota; Gammaproteobacteria; Alteromonadales; Colwelliaceae. The record is from RNAcentral.
CGAGUUGACUAGACAAUCGCUGCCUAAUUUAUUUCGAUAUUAUUAGGGGGAGGAAAGUCCGGGCUCCAAUGAGCAGGGUGCCAGGUAACGCCUGGGCGGCGUAAGCCGACGACAAGUGCAGCAGAGAGAAGACCGCCGAUGGUUAUCUUUCGAGAUUUCACAGGUAAGGCUGAAAGGGUGCGGUAAGAGCGCACCGGAUUGCUGGUAACAGUAAUUGCAAGGUAAACUCCACCCGGAGCAAGACCAAAUAGGAAUUCGUAUGGCGUGGCUCGCGUUGAAUUCGGGUAGGUUGCUUGAGCUAUAGAGCGAUUUAUAGCCUAGACGAAUGAUUGUCACUUUUCUUCGGAAGAGAUACAAAACCCGGCUUAUGUGUUGACUCAUAAA